AGAGUUUGAUCCUGGCUCAGAAUGAACGUUGGCGGCGUGGAUUAGGCAUGCAAGUCGAACGAGCCUCUGGGGGGUAACUCCUAGAGGAAAGUGGCGAAAGGGGCGGUAAUGUAUGGGUAACCUACCUUGAGGUCUGGGAUAGCUAUUCUAACGGAUAGGUAAUACCGGACGGCCUGAGUUGUCGGCAUCGAUGAUUUAGUAAAGGUUACGCCUCGAGAGGGGCCCAUAUGAUAUUAGCUAGUUGGUGAGGUAAUGGCUCACCAAGGCAAAGAUGUCUAGCGGGUGUGAGAGCACGACCCGCGUCACUGGCACUGAGACACUGGCCAGACUCCUACGGGAGGCUGCAGUCGAGGAUCUUCGGCAAUGGACGCAAGUCUGACCGAGCAACGCCGCGUGUGCGAUGAAGGCCUUCGGGUUGUAAAGCACUGUCGAGGGGAAACAAGCCGUAAGGUUGAGUGACCCCUGGAGGAAGCACGGGCUAAGUUCGUGCCAGCAGCCGCGGUAAGACGAACCGUGCAAACGUUAUUCGGAAUCACUGGGCUUAAAGGGCGCGUAGGCGGGUAAUCAAGUCAAUGGUGAAAGCCUCCAGCUUAACUGGAGAAGUGCCUUUGAUACUGAUUGUCUAGAGUGAGGUAGGGGCAUGUGGAACUUCCGGUGGAGCGGUGAAAUGCGUAGAUAUCGGAAGGAACGCCAGUGGCGAAAGCGAUGUGCUGGACCUUUUCUGACGCUGAGGCGCGAAAGCUAGGGGAUCAAACGGGAUUAGAUACCCUGGUAGUCC
This 778-nucleotide ribosomal RNA is filed under the name uncultured bacterium. RNAcentral's name for it is "bacterial SSU rRNA". It matches the Rfam family "Bacterial small subunit ribosomal RNA", at positions 8 to 796 of the family's 1533-position model. The record is from RNAcentral.